Non-coding RNA from Styela clava, 72 nucleotides. Lineage: Eukaryota; Metazoa; Chordata; Ascidiacea; Stolidobranchia; Styelidae. The record is from the annotation of a RefSeq genome assembly.
GGGGACGUAGCUCAGUGGUAGAGCGCGCGCUUUGCAUGCGCGAGGCCCCGGGUUCGAUCCCCGGCGUCUCCA